AAAAAUAAUAAUAAGUCUAUAGGAAAGCACCUAAGGAUGGGGGCUGGUUGCCAGUGGAGCCAUUUCUGUGAUUAGAACUUUUAGUCCCACUCCCUGACCUCUGAGGAAGGGAGAGGGGCUAACGAUUGCCUUCAAUCCCUUAUGGCCAAUGAUUUCAUUACUCAUGCUUGUGUAAAACAGCCUUCAGAAAAAACUAAAAGGACUGGGUUCAGCGAGCUUCUGGAUUGAACACGUGAAGGUGCAGGGAGGGUGGUGCUUGGAGAGGGCAUGGAGCUCUGCACCCUUUUCCUGUACCUUGCCCUAUGCGUCUGUCAUCUGGCUGUUCCUGAGUUAUUUUAUAAUAAACCAGUCUUUCUCUGAGUUCUGUGAGCCGAGUUAGCAAGUUAAUGGGAACCUCUGAUUCAUAGCAAGUUGAUCAGAAGUACAGGUAACAAUGUGACUGACAUCUGAAUUGAGUUGCUAAGGAGGAGGUUAUUGGAACCUCCAAUCUAUAGCCAGUCAAUCAGAAGUACAGGUAAUAAAUAAUCUGACAUCUGAAGUUGGAGGUGGGGGAUAUAUUUUGUCUUGUAGGAUUGAGCCCACAAUCUAUGGAAUCUGAUGCUACCUCCAGGUAGAUAUUACCAGAAUUAAGUUGAAUUAUCAGACACCCAGCUGGUAUUCCAAGAAUUGCCUAUCGGAGUGAUUUGAGAAUUCUCAAAUCUCAAUAAUUACUUGUUGGAGAAUUGCUAAUUGGAACACUAAAUUAGUGAUAUAUGUAAGACCUGUGUCUAGAUUAAUAUUUUUUUUGUCAUGUGGGUGUCUAGUUCUGCCAGUAACCACUUUUUUUUUUAAUUCCUAUCCGAGGAUAUAUAUGUUUGUUUUUUAAAGUGACUUUAGAGCGAGGAAGGGAGAGUGAGAGAGAAAGAGAAACAUUGAUGUGAGAUAGAAACAUCGAUUGGCUGCCUCCUGUUCACACCUCAACCAGGUAUUGAACUGGAAACCUGGGUAUGUGCUCUGACUGGGAAUCAAACCCACAACCCUUCGGUGCACUGGACAAUGCUCCAACCAACUGACCCAUGCCAGCCAGGGCUCCAGUAACCAUUUGUUGAAAAGACUGUCUUUGCUCCAUUGUACUGCCUUUGUCCUUUGACCAAGAUCAGUUGGCUGUAUUUAUGUGUGCUUGUGUUUUUCAGAUGCAGUCUUGAAUACUCCUAAUUUUCUUUGUUUUGUUCUUUGGAUCAUUCCUUUUUUCUUUUUCAUAGCCUCAGUAAAUUAUACUUAAACAAUAGCAAUAGCCUCCUUAUUAUCUUACUAGUCUUCAGUCUCCUUUCUUCCCAUCCUGGACUAUUUCAAAGCUCACUUUGCAAAACUAUCUGGUUCAGUCAGAGAAUAUCAGAAGAAUUGUAGAAUCUCAGUAGUGUAGGGAUCAUAAAAGUCAUUUAGUUCACAUACUUGUCUUUCAUUUGAAUUUCCUCUCCAUAUCUGACGAAUAACUUCUGCCAAGUUGAUUAGGCUAAGCUUGAAUUCCUCCAGUGACAAGAAAAUCAUUCUCUCUGAAUGCUGCAGUCCAAUUCUUUGGACAACUGGAGGUUUAAGUUGAAUCUUCCUUAGUUAAUGUAGGAUGAAUAUACUUAUAGCUUCUACUACACACUCAAUUCUCCCCCUAAGACCAUACAGAACAAGGAUUACCCUACUUCCCUAUGAAAGCCCUUUAGGUUUGGGAAGAUAUUAUUUUGUCCAGAAUAAACUCCCUGUAGAUUCAUCUUUUCUCUAAACUGAAUCUCCAACUUGGUUGGUUCCUCCAGCCAAUCUUUUUGUAACUUGAAUUUUAGUCCUUUACCAUUCUAUUCACAUUUCUCUGAACUUUAACAUUUGUUUAUAUUCACCUUAAGUUGUGAAACCCAGGAAAUCAGUUUGAGUACUGUAAGUGUGGUCCCUGUUUAAAAUAGACCAGAAAUAUUCAUUCUUUUUUCAAAACAUCAGUCUUUUCUUAAUGCAGGCUGAAGUUGCAUUAACAUUUUUGACAUCUACAUUCUAUCUUGACUCAUAUUGAAUUUACUGUUGAGUAACUCACAAAGCCAUAUCUCGCCCAGUUGUACUCAAGAACAGGAAUCUUACAUUUACUCUUGAUAACUUUUAUCUUGUUAGAAUAGCUCAUUGCUGUUUUACAACUACAACUUGUCGGGGAAUAAAAAAUGUUUUCUUACCAGCUUAUGAUUUGAGACUAUAAAACAUAUACACUAAAUAGAAUAAAAACCUAAGGACUCUUAGAAAGCAAUUUAAUAUAGUGUGAGUUGUAACUAUGAAUGAUGUUUUCCAAGGUGUCCUCUGGCCUGCAUUAGAAUCACCUAGGGAUGGGCUUAUUAAAUAUUCAGGUUCUUCAACUCCACUAUAGACUUAAUGAAUUUGAAUUUCUAGGAGUGAUGCCUGGAAAUCUGCAUUUUAACAAGCUCCGUUGGAUGUUGGUGCUUGUUAAAGUUUGACAACUACUAUCAUGCUGCCUACAAAAAUGAACUAAACACUCCUUAUCCUGAUGUUAAUUUGAGAUCAACUUCUGACUUAUUAUUCUGCUCACUAUUGUGUAAAAUUAGCGUUUGCUCUCAUUAUUCCACUUUUGGAUAAAUAAAAGUUGACUGGCAAUUUUUCAUCAUUGCAGCUGACCUCUGAUAAAGUCUCAAGCAAACAAAGAAAAUUUCACUGCUUUCUAAGAUACAAACGUCACUUUUUGGAUAGUGUUUGAAAGAUUGCAAAUAGUAAAGAUUACUGUUUAUUCAUUUUA
This is a long non-coding RNA of Myotis myotis, 2758 nucleotides long. RefSeq lists it as uncharacterized. The transcript is spliced from 2 exons. The record is from RefSeq and is a predicted model, not a curated record. NCBI's taxonomy places the organism in Eukaryota, Metazoa, Chordata, Mammalia, Chiroptera, Vespertilionidae.